RNAcentral lists this non-coding RNA (29 nucleotides) under Mus musculus (house mouse). Lineage: Eukaryota; Metazoa; Chordata; Mammalia; Rodentia; Muridae. The record is from RNAcentral.
UGGGAAAACUAAUUAAGCUCUCAAUUAGC